AAUGUUCCAGUGUCUUUACUGAACCCAGAAAACCCCCCAGGAGAACUUGUAGCUAUAAAAACAAGCAGAACUGAGCAGAGGCUGCCUUACCAGGUGCAUCUGGGCAGCUUGAUCUGUGAGUGGAUUGGUACACUGAUGAACUUCAUAAAAUGCAGAGUGAAAAUGUUGCACUCUAAUGAAAACUUGUGAACAGUACUUUUUUUUUUUUUAACUGAAUCAAGAUUUCCAAAGUGGAAAAGGAGACCUCCUCCAUCCUGGCUCACUUUCUGAGCUCCUCACAAGAUACAAUUAUCAGUGAACCUUGAUUUUCAUGGAACAAAGACCUAAACAGAGUGACUUCUCUCUGACUUUCAAGGAUCUUAGUCUUUCAGAUAGUGGGGAAUACUUGUGUAUUAUUUCUUCAAUCAAAUAUACCUUACUCACCAUCCAAAUGCUGCAUGUAGUAGUUUACACAAAGCAAAGCAUCAGGACCAUUGCAUCUCUGACAAAAGCAGCUUUUCAGGACCUCUCAUUCCCAAGUAAAUCCUGGCCCAUUGAAACUGGAGGAGGAUCGUCCCAUACUUACUCCCAGGAAGAGAACAGAGUUAAAAAGGAAUUACCUGGAUAA
Molecule: long non-coding RNA, 607 nt
Filed under: Suricata suricatta (meerkat)
Lineage: Eukaryota; Metazoa; Chordata; Mammalia; Carnivora; Herpestidae
Description: lncRNA (ENSSSUG00005014358.1)
Source: RNAcentral